AAAAAAGGGCGCGUGAAAUUUCAGUGAACGACAGAGAUGAAAUAUCGCAAAGCGAACCCUCUUAACCGUCUUCUUUCUUUCCCUCCAAAUGUUAAUAUAAAUAAUAUUCAUUAAUUUCUUUUUUCACUUUCGCGUUCUCUCUCAUUCUCUUUUUUCUUUCUCUCUUGGAAACCAACCGUUAUAGCGAUCCCUUUCUCUGCCAAUUCGAGCACGAUUUCUGAAAAAAAUGCAUUUCGCGAAUCUCGAUGACACUCCGAUGUUCCGUCAACAGAUGCAGUGUUUGGAGGAAAGUGCAGAAUCGUUGCGUGUGAGAUGCUGCAAGUUCUAUAAAGGAUGUCGAAAGUAUAUGGAAGGUCUUGGAGAGGCAUAUGAUGGGGACAUCGCAUUUGCAAGUGCCAUAGAAAACUUCGGAGGCGGGCAGAAUGAUCCUCAUUUUAUUGCUUUGGGAGGACCUGUUUUGACCAAAUAUACUCUAGCAUUGAGAGAAAUCAGUACAUACAAGGAACUGCUCCGGUUACAAGUAGAGUACAUUUUCAAUCAUCGGUUACAACCGAUUGUCAAUGUUGACAUCAAUGAAGUCAAGGAAGCUCGUAAACGUUUUGAUAAAUCCUCCCUUGUAUAUGAUCAGGCACGUGAAAAAUUUAUGUCACUCAGAAAAAGUACUAAGAUUGACAUUGCCACUGUCAUUGAAGAGGAACUGCAGGAGGCAAGAGCAUCAUUUGAGGAAGCCCGUUUCAAUUUGGUUGGCACUCUUAAUAACGUUGAGGUGAAGAAGAGAUUCGAGUUUUUAGAGGCUGUAACUGGAAUUAUGGAUGCUCAUUUUCGAUACUUUCAACAGGGGUAUCAGCUAUUGCAUCAGAUGGAACCUUUCAUCAAUGAGAUUAUGGAUUAUGUACAUCAGUCAAGAGAAAAUUACAAUAACGAACAGAUUCAACUUUAUCAAAGAAUGCAAGACUACAAGAAACAAGCUUAUGAAGAAAGUAGGUUAUCCUUGAGUGGUCCCUAUGGUUCUCUUCUUGGAGACUCUACACAUCCAUUUUCUAGGAUAUCAAAUGAGGCAGCAGAUGUAGUAAUGGAAUCUGCUGCGAAUGGAAAGGUUCAAAUCAUUCGGCAAGGGCAUCUUUCAAAACGAUCCUCCAAUUUGAGAGCUGAUUGGAAAAGAAGGUAUUUUGUUCUUGACAGUCGGGGAAUGUUGUACUACUACCGCAAGCCAUGGAGCGGGUCAUAUGGCAGCAAUCAACCAUCUCCAAAGAGGAAUAGCGGCGUUGAAAAUGGUUCUGGAAUUCUAAGUCGAUGGCUUUCUUCUCAUUACCAUGGAGGCGUUCAUGAUGAAAGAUCCAUAGCACGUCAUACAGUUAACCUGCUGACAUCAACAAUCAAGGUUGAUGCUGAUCAGUCAGAUUUGAGAUUCUGCUUCAGGAUUAUUUCGCCUACAAAGAACUAUACGUUGCAGGCAGAAAAUGCAGUGGACCAGAUGGAUUGGAUGCAAAAGAUAAAUGGAGUAAUUGCUACCUUGUUGACUGUCCAGACACUAGGAACGCCUCCCUCAGCUGACUCAGAAAACGACGACUCUCACUCUGAUGACAAUAUUGAAAAGUCAGAAAGUUAUCCAGAUGAUGAUCAUGCUUUGAGAACGAAGUCUGCAUUGAAUAAAACCACCCGUACUAAGCACUUACGUUCGUCUAGAAGUAUGAACUUACAUACACACACUCUGAGAAUUGAAAAGCCAAUUGAUGUUCUUAGAAGUGUGAGCGGAAAUGAUAAAUGUGCUGAUUGUGGUAAACCUGAACCAGAGUGGGCAUCCUUAAACCUUGGCAUCCUCAUAUGCAUUGAGUGUUCUGGUGUUCAUCGUAAUCUUGGUGUACAUAUAUCAAAAGUAAGAUCGCUGACACUCGAUGUUAAAGUUUGGGAUUCCUCAGUCUUAAGUAUGCUUAAAUCACUAGGCAAUCUUUUUUCAAACUCAGUUUGGGAGGAGUUGUUGCAUUCACAGGGUAAUUUGCAAACUGUAGACACCCUUGCUAGUUCAUCCAAGGAAAAUGAAGAGGAGAUAUUCCAUGCAAGAAAGCCAAAACAUGAUGAUCCGAUUUUAGUAAAGGAAAUGUUCAUUCAUGCAAAGUAUUGUGAGAAAAUAUUUAUUCCCCGGAUCACGGAUAGCCACCCUAUCCAUUCACUAGCGCAACAGUUGCAGGAAAGCAUCUGUGCAAAUGACAAAAAAGCAGUGUACCAGCUUAUUGUUAAGUCGAAUGUUGACGUCAAUGCCAUCGGUUGUCAAGCAUUGUCUGGUGACAAUUUGGACAUGGCUUCAAGUAAUUCAAACAUUGCAUCUCAAAGUGAAAAUCAGGUCGUUGAGGACGUAAAAGAUGGCUCUAGCGCGCUUCACCUGGCUUGCCUAAAUAGUGACAUUGGCAUGGUGGAGCUACUCCUACAGCUUGGGGCAGAUAUAAAUGCUUCCGAUUCUAGAGGUCGGACACCACUUCAUUGUUCUAUUAUUGGAGGGAAGAAUGCAGCUGCAAAAGUGCUUAUCUCGAGGUAUCAAACUAUGGUUGGGAUUCCACGACAGAAUGGUCUAGAAUGAGUGAGAUGCAUGCUACUAAGUGUUGGAGUUUCAAAGGUGUUUGAGCUAAAGUUUCUACCAUUGUUUCUUGAUAAACGGAUUUCUCACAAUUGCUCUAAAUGUGAAAACGCUGGAAAUUUGAUGAUCAAGUGGGAGCAGAGUUAGACAAUAAGUUGAUGAUGGCUAUAAUGUAGUCAAUGAUGGAACAAGAUGAACAAUCAAACCCUUAAUGAGGGGAGCCAAUACAUAUGUGGCAGAUAAAGAAGGCAACACUCCUAUUAAGCUUGCAUCAGAAUCCAUCUGCGUUGACAAAGAAAUUAUCAAUCUCUUGACAAGCAGAUAACAAGCCCAAAAUCUUACUAAAAGCAGCCAUUACUAAACAACGCUUUUUGUGACUUCUCCAGAAGAUAGAGGACCAACUAAGCAACGCUUACAAGCACAAAGGGGCCUGGAGCAAGUGGUUUAGCUUUAUUGGGCCAUAUUAUAAGUAAUUAUCUUCAUGAUUGAAGGAUGUGAUGGGCUCAUAUUGUGGGGUUUCAACUCUAUUUUAAUGUUUAACUUAAAUUUUAGGAACUGGAAUCAUUCUCAUCUAUUCUAACAGAGGACUGUAUAUAAGUUACUUAAAUUAUUAUUAAACGAAAAAAAAAACAAGAAGGCAAAGAGACAGGAAAAAAAGGUUAAUGCAUGGAUCUUAAAUAAGUAUGGCCCAGUUAAACAAGAGAAAUGGGAGAGACGACCUUCCCAAAACGUGAAUCUUAAUUAAGUGCUGAUUAUGACAGAAUUGUUAGGUUCAAUGUUCCAUCAGGUAGCAUAAAAUUUAAUCACUUUUUAAUUACAAAAUGUCUUUGCCAUACUUAAGCAAAUAAACGACCCAAA
Vigna angularis (adzuki bean) is the source of this 3430-nucleotide RNA transcript. It is a transcript of the gene named ADP-ribosylation factor GTPase-activating protein AGD3, with no coding region annotated. Lineage: Eukaryota; Viridiplantae; Streptophyta; Magnoliopsida; Fabales; Fabaceae. The transcript is spliced from 22 exons. The record is from RefSeq and is a predicted model, not a curated record.